GAAAUGCGAUAAGUAGUGUGAAUUGCAGAAUUCAGUGAAUCAUCGAAUCUUUGAACGCACAUUGCGCCCCUUGGUAUUCCAUGGGGCAUGCCUGUUCGAGCGUCAUUUGUACCCUCAAGCUCUGCUUGGUGUUGGGUGUUUGUCCCCGUCUCCGCGCGUGGACUCGCCCCAAAGUGAUUGGCAGUCGGCGUACUGGUCCCGGAGCGCAGCACAUGUCGCGCAAACGAGUGCCUUGGUACGGCGGCGUCCAUAAGCCCCUCUCUCACGCUCUUGACCUCGGAUCAGGUAGGGAUACCCGCUGAACUUAAGC
This 310-nucleotide unclassified non-coding RNA is filed under the name plant metagenome. Its description in RNAcentral is "partial contains 5.8S ribosomal RNA, internal transcribed spacer 2, and large subunit ribosomal RNA". The stretch from base 1 to 105 matches the Rfam family "5.8S ribosomal RNA", at positions 50 to 154 of the family's 154-position model. The record is from RNAcentral.